This 539-nucleotide ribosomal RNA is filed under the name uncultured bacterium. RNAcentral describes it as "bacterial SSU rRNA". It matches the Rfam family "Bacterial small subunit ribosomal RNA", at positions 8 to 526 of the family's 1533-position model. The record is from RNAcentral.
AGGGUUUGAUCAUGGCUCAGAUUGAACGCUGGCGGCAGGCCUAACACAUGCAAGUCGAGCGGAAACGAGUUAUCUGAACCUUCGGGGAACGAUAACGGCGUCGAGCGGCGGACGGGUGAGUAAUGCCUAGGAAAUUGCCUUGAUGUGGGGGAUAACCAUUGGAAACGAUGGCUAAUACCGCAUAACGCCUACGGGCCAAAGAGGGGGACCUUCGGGCCUCUCGCGUCAAGAUAUGCCUAGGUGGGAUUAGCUAGUUGGUGAGGUAAUGGCUCACCAAGGCGACGAUCCCUAGCUGGUCUGAGAGGAUGAUCAGCCACACUGGAACUGAGACACGGUCCAGACUCCUACGGGAGGCAGCAGUGGGGAAUAUUGCACAAUGGGCGAAAGCCUGAUGCAGCCAUGCCGCGUGUAUGAAGAAGGCCUUCGGGUUGUAAAGUACUUUCAGUUGUGAGGAAGGGGGUGUCGUUAAUAGCGGCAUCUCUUGACGUUAGCAACAGAAGAAGCACCGGCUAACUCCGUGCCAGCCGCCGCGGUAAUAC